AUCAUGGCUCAGGAUGAACGCUGGCGGCGUGCCUAAUACAUGCAAGUCGAACGAGUUCUCGUUGAUGAUCGGUGCUUGCACCGAGAUUCAACAUGGAACGAGUGGCGGACGGGUGAGUAACACGUGGGUAACCUGCCCUUAAGUGGGGGAUAACAUUUGGAAACAGAUGCUAAUACCGCAUAGAUCCAAGAACCGCAUGGUUCUUGGCUGAAAGAUGGCGUAAGCUAUCGCUUUUGGAUGGACCCGCGGCGUAUUAGCUAGUUGGUGAGGUAAUGGCUCACCAAGGCGAUGAUACGUAGCCGAACUGAGAGGUUGAUCGGCCACAUUGGGACUGAGACACGGCCCAAACUCCUACGGGAGGCAGCAGUAGGGAAUCUUCCACAAUGGACGCAAGUCUGAUGGAGCAACGCCGCGUGAGUGAAGAAGGCUUUCGGGUCGUAAAACUCUGUUGUUGGAGAAGAAUGGUCGGCAGAGUAACUGUUGUCGGCGUGACGGUAUCCAACCAGAAAGCCACGGCUAACUACGUGCCAGCAGCCGCGGUAAUACGUAGGUGGCAAGCGUUAUCCGGAUUUAUUGGGCGUAAAGCGAGCGCAGGCGGUUUUUUAAGUCUGAUGUGAAAGCCCUCGGCUUAACCGAGGAAGCGCAUCGGAAACUGGGAAACUUGAGUGCAGAAGAGGACAGUGGAACUCCAUGUGUAGCGGUGAAAUGCGUAGAUAUAUGGAAGAACACCAGUGGCGAAGGCGGCUGUCUGGUCUGUAACUGACGCUGAGGCUCGAAAGCAUGGGUAGCGAACAGGAUUAGAUACCCUGGUAGUC
RNAcentral lists this ribosomal RNA (815 nucleotides) under Lactobacillus casei group sp. RNAcentral's name for it is "bacterial SSU rRNA". It matches the Rfam family "Bacterial small subunit ribosomal RNA", at positions 16 to 795 of the family's 1533-position model. Lineage: Bacteria; Bacillati; Bacillota; Bacilli; Lactobacillales; Lactobacillaceae. The record is from RNAcentral.